This 303-nucleotide ribosomal RNA is filed under the name uncultured bacterium. RNAcentral's name for it is "bacterial SSU rRNA". It matches the Rfam family "Bacterial small subunit ribosomal RNA", at positions 355 to 657 of the family's 1533-position model. The record is from RNAcentral.
UGGGGAAUAUUGCACAAUGGGCGCAAGCCUGAUGCAGCGACGCCGCGUGCGGGAUGGAGGCCUUCGGGUUGUAAACCGCUUUUGUUCAAGGGCAAGGCACGGUCUUCGGCCGUGUUGAGUGGAUUGUUCGAAUAAGCACCGGCUAACUACGUGCCAGCAGCCGCGGUAAUACGUAGGGUGCAAGCGUUAUCCGGAUUUAUUGGGCGUAAAGGGCUCGUAGGCGGUUCGUCGCGUCCGGUGUGAAAGUCCAUCGCUUAACGGUGGAUCCGCGCCGGGUACGGGCGGGCUUGAGUGCGGUAGGGG